CUUAGAACGAGCCUAGCGCGACUGUUAACGGGUAACGUUACAGUUGACUACCUCAGAGAGAAGUGUGAUUCAGGGCUCAGCAGCUGGACCGAUCCUGCAACAGUCUGUGACUGGCUCCACAUCCCCCUGCGGCUUCUGUGUGGAAGCC
Long non-coding RNA from Etheostoma cragini (Arkansas darter), 148 nucleotides. RefSeq lists it as uncharacterized. The record is from RefSeq and is a predicted model, not a curated record. The transcript is spliced from 3 exons. Lineage: Eukaryota; Metazoa; Chordata; Actinopteri; Perciformes; Percidae.